UACGUAGGCAGCAAGCGUUGUUCGGAAUUACUGGGCGUAAAGAGUGUGUAGGCGGUGCUCUAAGUCUGUUGUGAAAUCUCCCGGCUUAACCGGGAGGGUGCGGCGGAAACUGGAGUGCUUGAGGGUGGGCGAGGUAAGCGGAAUUCCUGGUGUAGCGGUGAAAUGCGUAGAUAUCAGGAGGAACACCUGUGGCGAAAGCGGCGCACUGGACCAUAACUGACGCUGAUGCGCGAAAGCUAGGGGAGCAAACAGG
Molecule: ribosomal RNA, 253 nt
Filed under: uncultured bacterium
Lineage: Bacteria
Description: partial 16S ribosomal RNA
Rfam family: Bacterial small subunit ribosomal RNA
Source: RNAcentral